Molecule: ribosomal RNA, 497 nt
Filed under: uncultured bacterium
Lineage: Bacteria
Description: partial 16S ribosomal RNA
Rfam family: Bacterial small subunit ribosomal RNA
Source: RNAcentral
GAUGAACGCUGGCGGCGUGCCUAAUACAUGCAAGUCGAGCGAACGGACGAGAAGCUUGCUUCUCUGAUGUUAGCGGCGGACGGGUGAGUAACACGUGGAUAACCUACCUAUAAGACUGGGAUAACUUCGGGAAACCGGAGCUAAUACCGGAUAAUAUUUUGAACCGCAUGGUUCAAAAGUGAAAGACGGUCUUGCUGUCACUUAUAGAUGGAUCCGCGCUGCAUUAGCUAGUUGGUAAGGUAACGGCUUACCAAGGCAACGAUGCAUAGCCGACCUGAGAGGGGGGUCGGCCACACGGGAACUGAGACACGGUCCAGACUCCUACGGGAGGCAGCAGUAGGGAAUCUUCCGCAAUGGGCGAAAGCCUGACGGAGCAACGCCGCGUGAGUGAUGAAGGUCUUCGGAUCGUAAAACUCUGUUAUUAGGGAAGAACAUAUGUGUAAGUAACUGUGCACAUCUUGACGGUACCUAAUCAGAAAGCCACGGCUAACUACGUG